AAAACAACAGUAUCACGUGGGUGGCUAACGUAUGAUAUUCGAUAGGUGGCGCUCUGUAAACGUAUAGACGCAGAUCAGUAUGAAAUAUAUUUGCUCUAUUUUCGUUUAAAUAAUAUCUUAUCUUCUCGAAUUAGUCUAAGAAGUGUUUAUAUAAUUUACAAUGAAGUUGUUAUCAUUUUUGAGGGCUUCAUUUUAUAGUGGUAAAUAAUUUAGUAAAUUCGAAUAUGCGACUUAUCGGAUUUGAAAUUCAAUUGUAUUGGCGGACAAAAAAACGACGGGUUGACAGACAAAGUUGUAUAUAUUCCAAACAAAAGAAAAAGAUUGUGAAAAUUAUGAUAAUUCAACAUGUGUCAAAAGUCCAGGAGGAAGAUGAAAAUAUUUAGAGGAAAAGAAAAAUGAAAACCUACCAAGAUUUUGUCACAGAAAGAGUGAUGAGAUCUCAGGUUGGAGACGGUAAUGAUACGCUUAAAGUAUGCCCCAGAUCGACAUAGUGGAGGAGGACGAAAGAAGAAUACUAAUUAAGAUACAUGAACAUUGCUGUUUAUAGUAAUAACAAAAUAUUCAGAAUAUUGUUCCAUUUAACAUUCAGAUCUAGAUUCAGUUAUAAAAUACAAAGACAAAUAUACAAUCAGUGAGUUGGAUAGAUGAUUGAAAAAUCCCAAACUCAGAGUGAUCAGUUCAGUGGUGAUAUAAGAAAAAACACAUGCA
Long non-coding RNA from Ruditapes philippinarum (Manila clam), 708 nucleotides. RefSeq lists it as uncharacterized. Lineage: Eukaryota; Metazoa; Mollusca; Bivalvia; Venerida; Veneridae. The transcript has 3 exons. The record is from RefSeq and is a predicted model, not a curated record.